RNAcentral lists this non-coding RNA (91 nucleotides) under Aurantimonas sp. 22II-16-19i. Its description in RNAcentral is "Glycine riboswitch aptamer". It matches the Rfam family "Glycine riboswitch aptamer". Rfam says of the family: This family represents the bacterial glycine riboswitch. Glycine riboswitches usually consist of two metabolite-binding aptamers domains with similar structures in tandem. RNAcentral also lists the same sequence under 1 other name. Lineage: Bacteria; Pseudomonadati; Pseudomonadota; Alphaproteobacteria; Hyphomicrobiales; Aurantimonadaceae. The record is from Rfam by way of RNAcentral.
UCGACGAAUACGGGAGAGAUCGGCUUUCGAGGCCGGCGCCGAAGGAGCAACCGCCCCGGAAACUCUCAGGCAAACGGACCGUUUCGUUUCA